CCAGACACCCACAAGCAGGUUUCCAAACCAGCUGCACUGGGCGUUUUCCAAAAGAUGUGUCCCUGACACCGGGUGCCCGUGGCUACCCUUGUUCCCCAUCAGGCCAGAAGACUGACCGAUAGGAGUAAAGGGUCAUGAGCAUGGCUGUGGAAUGAGGCAUGAAGAGCGCGGGGCCUGUUCGCUUUAGCCCCAGCUGUCCAGCGUUACCCAGCUCUGCCUUCCAGCCCGCCCCUGGCACGUUGCACUCGAGGGUGGGCUGCGCGGCACUUCCCUGAGAAGAAGGAUCCAGCCCAAGUCACCACAUCGCAUUUGAUCAUCAUGUUUCCUUAGCCUUUGGCUUGUGUGACAGUUUUUCAUCUUGGUUUUUCAUAACCUUGACAAUUUUGAGGAGCACUGGUUCGAUAUGUUGUGGAAUAUCUCUCACUUUGGCUUUGUCUGAUUUUUUUUUCAUGGUUCAUCUGGGUCGAAGGAUAUUUGGGACAAAUACCUCGGAUGUGAAAUGCCUUUCUCGUCCAGCCCAUCAGGUGGCCCAUGCUGCCAGCAUGACUUAGAACUAACUGGUGGCCUUAGCCUCGGUCGCUUUGUUCCGGUGGUGGUGGCCAGGCUCCUCCGCUGGGAAGUCCUUGUUUCUCACUUUCCUUACUCUGUUCUUUGGAGGCAAGUCACUAAGUUCGACCCACAGUCCAGAUGAGGGGUGGGGGUUAAACGCCCCCUCAGGAAAGGAAGAUAUAUUGGUCUGUUAGGGCUGCCAUAACCAAAUACCAGACACGGGGUGGUUUGAACUACAG
Phyllostomus hastatus (greater spear-nosed bat) is the source of this 788-nucleotide long non-coding RNA. RefSeq lists it as uncharacterized. The record is from RefSeq and is a predicted model, not a curated record. Lineage: Eukaryota; Metazoa; Chordata; Mammalia; Chiroptera; Phyllostomidae. The transcript has 3 exons.